UAACACACCUUUCAUGUUCUUCACAACACUGCUGUCUCAUUGGCUGAUCUGUGACAGAUUUGUCAAAUCACAGCAUUGCCACACCCACCUCAGCCAGCCCUCUAUAAAAAUGUCAUGCUCUAGUAUAGUUUACACACAGCAGCUGUACCUGAGAACUGGACAGGCUAAGACACAAAAACUACUGAAGAAUCUAGAAGAAAUAGAUUUUGAUCUUCAAAACUUUGAAAAUGGGAAGUAAUAACUCUGGUGAAGAUCGGGAACGCAGAAGAGCUGAAGAAGCUGAGCAGGAACGCAUCAGAGCAGAAAGGGAAAAAAACAGAAUGGCGGAAGAACUUAAUAGAUUAAGACAAGAAAGUGAAUUAGAGCGAUUGAGAGAGGAGAGAAAAGCAGCGGAGCAGCGCAACAGAAGCGAAGCAGAAAGACGAGCACUCCAGGAACAAUAUGACAAAAUACAAAAUGAGAGAAACAUGCAGAGAAUGAAA
Megalobrama amblycephala (Wuchang bream) is the source of this 482-nucleotide long non-coding RNA. RefSeq lists it as uncharacterized. The record is from RefSeq and is a predicted model, not a curated record. The transcript has 2 exons. Lineage: Eukaryota; Metazoa; Chordata; Actinopteri; Cypriniformes; Xenocyprididae.